This 164-nucleotide ribosomal RNA is filed under the name uncultured bacterium. RNAcentral describes it as "partial 16S ribosomal RNA". It matches the Rfam family "Bacterial small subunit ribosomal RNA", at positions 355 to 511 of the family's 1533-position model. The record is from RNAcentral.
UAGGGAAUCUUCCACAAUGGGCGAAAGCCUGAUGGAGCAACGCCGCGUGUGUGAUAAAGGCUUUCGGGUCGUAAAGCACUGUUGUAUGGGAAGAACAGCUAGAAUAGGAAAUGAUUUUAGUUUGACGGUACCAUACCAGAAAGGGACGGCUAAAUACGUGCCAG